UGUUUCGGCUAGGGGGUCAUCCCGACUUACCAACCCGAUGCAAACUACGAAUACCGAAGAAUGUUAUCACGGGAGACACACGGCGGGUGCUAACGUCCGUCGUGAAGAGGGAAACAACCCAGACCGCCAGCUAAGGUCCCAAAGUCAUGGUUAAGUGGGAAACGAUGUGGGAAGGCACAGACAGCCAGGAUGUUGGCUUAGAAGCAGCCAUCAUUUAAAGAAAGCGUAAUAGCUCACUGGUCGAGUCGGCCUGCGCGGAAGAUGUAACGGGGCUAAACCAUGCACCGAAGCUGCGGCAGCGACACUAUGUGUUGUUGGG
Molecule: ribosomal RNA, 319 nt
Filed under: Klebsiella pneumoniae
Lineage: Bacteria; Pseudomonadati; Pseudomonadota; Gammaproteobacteria; Enterobacterales; Enterobacteriaceae
Also listed under: 1 other name
Description: partial 23S ribosomal RNA
Rfam family: Bacterial large subunit ribosomal RNA
Source: RNAcentral